RNAcentral lists this ribosomal RNA (1086 nucleotides) under Bacillus mobilis. RNAcentral's name for it is "partial 23S ribosomal RNA". It matches the Rfam family "Bacterial large subunit ribosomal RNA", at positions 411 to 1498 of the family's 2925-position model. The record is from RNAcentral. Lineage: Bacteria; Bacillati; Bacillota; Bacilli; Caryophanales; Bacillaceae.
AGUACGGCGGAACACGUGAAAUUCCGUCGGAAUCUGGGAGGACCAUCUCCCAAGGCUAAAUACUCCCUAGUGAUCGAUAGUGAACCAGUACCGUGAGGGAAAGGUGAAAAGCACCCCGGAAGGGGAGUGAAAGAGAUCCUGAAACCGUGUGCCUACAAAUAGUCAGAGCCCGUUAAUGGGUGAUGGCGUGCCUUUUGUAGAAUGAACCGGCGAGUUACGAUCCCGUGCGAGGUUAAGCUGAAGAGGCGGAGCCGCAGCGAAAGCGAGUCUGAAUAGGGCGUUUAGUACGUGGUCGUAGACCCGAAACCAGGUGAUCUACCCAUGUCCAGGGUGAAGUUCAGGUAACACUGAAUGGAGGCCCGAACCCACGCACGUUGAAAAGUGCGGGGAUGAGGUGUGGGUAGCGGAGAAAUUCCAAUCGAACCUGGAGAUAGCUGGUUCUCCCCGAAAUAGCUUUAGGGCUAGCCUUAAGUGUAAGAGUCUUGGAGGUAGAGCACUGAUUGAACUAGGGGUCCUCAUCGGAUUACCGAAUUCAGUCAAACUCCGAAUGCCAAUGACUUAUCCUUAGGAGUCAGACUGCGAGUGAUAAGAUCCGUAGUCAAGAGGGAAACAGCCCAGAUCGCCAGCUAAGGUCCCAAAGUGUGUAUUAAGUGGAAAAGGAUGUGGAGUUGCUUAGACAACUAGGAUGUUGGCUUAGAAGCAGCCACCAUUUAAAGAGUGCGUAAUAGCUCACUAGUCGAGUGACUCUGCGCCGAAAAUGUACCGGGGCUAAAUACACCACCGAAGCUGCGAAUUGAUACCAAUGGUAUCAGUGGUAGGGGAGCGUUCUAAGUGCAGUGAAGUCAGACCGGAAGGACUGGUGGAGCGCUUAGAAGUGAGAAUGCCGGUAUGAGUAGCGAAAGACGGGUGAGAAUCCCGUCCACCGAAUGCCUAAGGUUUCCUGAGGAAGGCUCGUCCGCUCAGGGUUAGUCAGGACCUAAGCCGAGGCCGACAGGCGUAGGCGAUGGACAACAGGUUGAUAUUCCUGUACCACCUCUUUAUCGUUUGAGCAAUGGAGGGACGCAGAAGGAUAGAAGAAGCGUGCGA